UACGGAGGAUGCGAGCGUUAUCCGGAUUUACUGGGUGUAAAGGGAGCGUAGGCGGCUUAGUAAGUCAGAAGUGAAAGCCCGCAGCUCAACUGCGGGACUGCUUUUGAAACUGCCAAGCUAGAGUGUCGGAGAGGUAAGUGGAAUUCCUAGUGUAGCGGUGAAAUGCGUAGAUAUUAGGAGGAACACCAGUGGCGAAGGCGGCUUACUGGGCUUUAACUGACGCUGAGGCUCGAAAGCGUGGGUAUCGAACAGG
This 253-nucleotide ribosomal RNA is filed under the name uncultured Eubacteriales bacterium. RNAcentral's name for it is "uncultured Clostridiales bacterium partial 16S ribosomal RNA". It matches the Rfam family "Bacterial small subunit ribosomal RNA", at positions 524 to 776 of the family's 1533-position model. Lineage: Bacteria; Bacillati; Bacillota; Clostridia; Eubacteriales. The record is from RNAcentral.